GAACAUCUAAAAUUGUUGUUUCUCCUUUAUCUUGUAAUAAACAUCUUGUUUUAAAUUCAGAGGUUGAUUGUUUAAAAUAAAUCUGGUAGAGUAACAAAUAUCAAUGUCGUUCAUUUUAGAAUUUGAUUUCUGGUAAAUGAACAUUUAAUGUUAGGGUAUUUAGUAUUAGCUGGGUCAUGUAAACUUACUUGAAAGUUAGAAGCGUAAUUAAAGUAUACUAGGUAAUAACCUGCGCCUUUCGCGGAAUGUGAUUAUUAGUUUUGAUAUUUUUUUAAAGAGACAUUAAUUU
RNAcentral lists this long non-coding RNA (289 nucleotides) under Brassica rapa (field mustard). RNAcentral's name for it is "long non-coding RNA (BRAP_LNC005717)". The record is from RNAcentral. Lineage: Eukaryota; Viridiplantae; Streptophyta; Magnoliopsida; Brassicales; Brassicaceae.